GCGCCCAUAGCUCAACUGGAUAGAGCAUCAGCCUACGAAGCUGGGGGUUAGAGGUUCGAGCCCUCUUGGGCGCACCA
This 77-nucleotide transfer RNA is filed under the name Deltaproteobacteria bacterium RIFCSPHIGHO2_12_FULL_43_9. RNAcentral describes it as "tRNA-Arg". It matches the Rfam family "tRNA". From Rfam's summary of the family: Transfer RNA (tRNA) molecules are approximately 80 nucleotides in length. Their secondary structure includes four short double-helical elements and three loops (D, anti-codon, and T loops). Lineage: Bacteria; Deltaproteobacteria. The record is from RNAcentral.